This is a non-coding RNA of Chiloscyllium plagiosum (whitespotted bambooshark), 347 nucleotides long. Lineage: Eukaryota; Metazoa; Chordata; Chondrichthyes; Orectolobiformes; Hemiscylliidae. The record is from RefSeq and is a predicted model, not a curated record.
CUAGUACGUUGGUGUGACUCGUCACCUUGUAAGAAUGGGGGAACCUGUUGGCAGACUGGCACCACCUAUCGAUGUGAAUGUCGGAGCAGCUGGACUGGCCUCUACUGUGAUGUGCCCAGUGUGUCCUGUGAAGUGGCAGCCAAACAACAAGGGCUGGACACAGAGCAGCUGUGUCGGAACAGUGGCAUCUGUAUUGAUGCCGGGAACACACACCAUUGUCGGUGCCAGGCUGGCUACACAGGCAGUUACUGUGAGGAGCAAGUGGACGAGUGUACCCCCAACCCCUGCCAGAACGGAGCGACCUGCACUGACUAUCUGGGCGGCUACUCCUGCAAGUGUGUUGCUGG